Molecule: long non-coding RNA, 1358 nt
Organism: Oncorhynchus gorbuscha (pink salmon)
Lineage: Eukaryota; Metazoa; Chordata; Actinopteri; Salmoniformes; Salmonidae
Exons: 3
Source: RefSeq, a predicted model, not a curated record
CAAUUGCGGGGCUAUAUACAGGGGGUACCGGUCAAUGUCAAUUCGCGGGGGCACCGGUGUCGAGGUAAUUGAGGCAAUAUGUACAUGUAGGUAGAGUUAUUAAAGUUAUUAAGUGACUAUAAUAACAUAGAGUAGCAACAGCGUAGAAGUCUGUGUGUGGAGGAGGCAUACAAGUAGUCUGUGUAGCCAUUUGAUUAGCUGUUCAGGAGUCUUAUGGCUUGGGGGUAGAAGCUGUUUAGAAGCCAUCACCAUGGAAACAGUGUGUUGUGAGCCAAUGGGGGAAGUGGGAGUCCCAGACCAGAGUGGGAAAGUUGUUCGCAGGGAAUAUUUUGGUGCCAUCAGCAGUUUUCCUUUCUGGCUACUCCCACGACACAUUUGAUGAAACGUGUCACUUCCUCAGCUUGGUGUCCAUGUUGUGGUGACAGUUCACCAACAUACAUCACCUCUACUUUGUGCCAGAGGUUAACCACAUGUGGACCCUGCAGACGGAGGCUAUUCUGGCUUCAAUUGGUGACAGUCCACUGAUUGUAUCCGGAGACGCACGCUGAGAUGCGCGAGGCCACUGUGCCUCCUUCAGCUCUUACACCAUCCUGGACUGCUUCUCACCUGAUCCUCACCAAGGAGACAGUGCAUGAGACCGAUGUGAAGAACAGCUACUGGUUGGAGACGGAGGGUUUAGAGAGAUGCCUGCAACAUAUUGAGGCCCAUGGAUGCGUAGUCGAAACUCUGACCACCGACGGCAUACAAGUGUGAGGGUGUUCUUGAGGGACUCCAAUCCUCAUAUCUGGCAUGAGUACUACCUGUGGCACAAUGCCAAAGAUGUGAGGAAAAAGCUGUUGGCCAUCGCGAAGCCAGAGACAGAGGCGAUAGUUCAAGUCAAUGACUCAUUUGUUCAUUUGUUCCUGGUCUGUCUCCGGUAAUGCCAUGGUUGAGGGCAAUCACACACCACUUGGGAUACUGUGCCACCACUGCUGGUGGAAGAGUCCAGCUGGCGAAGGAAAAGGGGAUCACUGUAGUUCACCACAUCACAUAUGAGCACCCGCAACAGACCUCUCCCCCUGCACACCUCAAGAGGAAGAAACACGACCCUGGCUGAUCACAGCAUCAACAGCUUUUGAGAAAGUGAGAAACAUCAUGCCCAACUUGAGAUUGCUAAAGGAUCUCUGUAAAUACACUACAUGUCCAAGAGUAUGCGGACACCUGCUUGUCGAACAUCUCGUUCCAAAGACAUGGGCAUCAAUAUAGAGUUGGUCCCCCUUUUGCUGCUAUAAUAGCCUCCACUCUUCUGGGAAGGCUUUCCACUAGAUGUUGGAACAUUGCUGCGAGGACUUGUUUCCAUUCAGCCACAAGAACAUUAG